GCGCUUUUCCUGUUAAGCAUUCGCGCCUAUAUUAGAUCUGUUCUUCGGAACUAUAACGAUAAACCCUUGUGUAAUAAACGGCUCGGACCCGGGGGCGGUACCCGGCGGCUCCACCAUAUUAACCAGCUCAUUUGGCUGUUGGAUUUGGGGCCGAAAUAGGAUCGACGGACGUGUAAAGACUUGUAUUUCGUUCGAAUGGGCCCCGUUAGAAGCCCAAUCGCAAAUAGUUGCAAAUGACAACUUUGCUGAAGGUGAGCUUCUCGCAGCGUAAGCUGUGCGAACAAACCGCAUAAACUCCUAGGGACUUUUAGCACUCUAGGCGGGGUUCGGAAGCACCUGGCAACAGAAGCUUCCACU
Hirschia baltica ATCC 49814 is the source of this 357-nucleotide non-coding RNA. It matches the Rfam family "Alphaproteobacteria transfer-messenger RNA". Rfam says of the family: Bacterial tmRNA, also known as 10Sa RNA or SsrA, is named for its dual tRNA and mRNA-like properties. Lineage: Bacteria; Pseudomonadati; Pseudomonadota; Alphaproteobacteria; Hyphomonadales; Hyphomonadaceae. The record is from Rfam.